GACGAACGCUGGCGGCGUGCCUAACACAUGCAAGUCGAGCGAUGAAAUUAGAAACGGAGUCUUCGGACGAAGUGGAAAAUGGAUUAGCGGCGGACGGGUGAGUAACACGUGAGCAACCUGCCUAUCACAUCGGGAUAGCCUCGGGAAACUGGGAUUAAUACCAAAUGAAACAUAAUCACUGCCUAGUGGAAAUGUCAAAGAUUUAUCGGUGAUAGAUGGGCUCGCGUCUGAUUAGCUAGUUGGUGAGGUAAUGGCUCACCAAGGCGACGCUCAGUAGCCGGCCUGAGAGGGUGAACGGCCGAAUUGGGACUGAGACACGGCCCAAACUCCUACGGGAGGCAGCAGUGGGGAAUAUUGCACAAUGGAGGGAACUCUGAUGCAGCGACGCCGCGUGAGCGAUGAAGGCUUUCGAGUCGUAAAGCUCUGUCGAAUGGGAAGAUAAUGACGGUACCAUUUGAGAAAGCCCCGGCUAACUACGUGCCAGCCGCCGCCGUAA
RNAcentral lists this ribosomal RNA (496 nucleotides) under uncultured bacterium. Its description in RNAcentral is "partial 16S ribosomal RNA". It matches the Rfam family "Bacterial small subunit ribosomal RNA", at positions 28 to 523 of the family's 1533-position model. The record is from RNAcentral.